This 468-nucleotide long non-coding RNA is filed under the name Homo sapiens (human). RNAcentral describes it as "long intergenic non-protein coding RNA 1482". Lineage: Eukaryota; Metazoa; Chordata; Mammalia; Primates; Hominidae. The record is from RNAcentral.
GGAAAUUUGCUAGCAGGACUCUCUCUUGCUCUGCUGAGAGGCAUUUCUGAGAUGAAAGAAGUGGGCCCUGCCAUUGAACAGAAUUUAUGCAUUUAAAUAUUCAUCAUUUCUGUGAAAAAGAGAAGAAAAAUUAGGUGAUGACGUCAGUCCAUGCUUCGGAAAUAGUUGUUUGCGAGGGAAGACGGCUCAACCAGCAAACACCUAAAGGGCUUUUGAAACUCUCUAAAUACAAGUUUUUAGAAACGACGAGGCAUUGAAAACUUACCACAUGACCUUGUGCAAGUUGCUUAACACCACUAAGCCGCCCUGUCUUCUCAGUUUUAAUCGGGGAUAAUAUUGCAUCCUCUUAAAGAGUUUUUUUGAGAGGAUUUGAUGAGAAACUAUGUAAGUCACUUAGUAUGCUGCCUGGAAUGUAGCAAGAACUUGAUCAAUGAUAAACUAUUAUGGAAGUUUUUUUGUUUUAUUUUU